AACGAACGCUGGCGGCAGGCCUAACACAUGCAAGUCGAACGUGAAGCCAGAGCUUGCUCUGGUGGAAAGUGGCAGACGGGUGAGUAACGCGUGGGAACCUACCCAGUGGUACGGAAUAACUCAGGGAAACUUGUGCUAAUACCGUAUGUGCCCUUUGGGGGAAAGAUUUAUCGCCAUUGGAUGGGCCCGCGUUGGAUUAGCUUGUUGGUGAGGUAACGGCUCACCAAGGCGACGAUCCAUAGCUGGUCUGAGAGGAUGAUCAGCCACACUGGGACUGAGACACGGCCCAGACUCCUACGGGAGGCAGCAGUGGGGAAUAUUGGACAAUGGGGGCAACCCUGAUCCAGCCAUGCCGCGUGUGUGAAGAAGGCCCUAGGGUUGUAAAGCACUUUCACCGGUGAAGAUGAUGACGGUAGCCGGAGAAGAAGCCCCGGCUAACUCCGUG
RNAcentral lists this ribosomal RNA (445 nucleotides) under uncultured bacterium. Its description in RNAcentral is "bacterial SSU rRNA". It matches the Rfam family "Bacterial small subunit ribosomal RNA", at positions 29 to 507 of the family's 1533-position model. The record is from RNAcentral.